This is a long non-coding RNA of Alnus glutinosa, 913 nucleotides long. RefSeq lists it as uncharacterized. The record is from RefSeq and is a predicted model, not a curated record. The transcript is spliced from 3 exons. Lineage: Eukaryota; Viridiplantae; Streptophyta; Magnoliopsida; Fagales; Betulaceae.
CUUGGUCUUCUUCUUUCUUUCUUUACUAUUCUUCGUUUCUUCUUUUUCUUCUUAUACCUGAGAACAGAGAGGGGGACUUGAGAGGAGAGAAACAGAGGCGAGAGAGAGAGAACACAAUCGAGAGAGAGAGAGAGAGAGAGAGAGAGGGCCGAUCGUGGUGGACCCAGACCGAACCGGAGAAGAGAGAAUCGGGGGAGGCUGGUCCUCCAUGGGUCGCCGGAGGACGCGACUUCCGACGGCCUGGAGCGGGACUUCCGGUGGGUGAGCUGGGUCGGCGUCGUCCAGCAGAGCAGAGGCCGAUUUCCGGCGAGCCCGUGAGCACGCAACCUGAGAGACUCGGAGACCCGUGAAUCGUGACCCGUGAACCCAGCCGAACCGUGACCAGAAACACCCAGAAACCCGAUCCUCCAAGAUCGGUGCCCAGAGCCGAAAUCCGGCAACUUUUAUCGGUGAUGUUUCGGUGAAGCUCAAAGAUGUUUUCCGGUGAUCUGAAACAAAUUCCGGCGACUUUUCCGGCGACUGCCAGAACUGGUUUUUUUUUGGCCGUUUCAGCGUGGUUUCCGGUGGAUUUAUGAGAAAUCCCAAUAAGUAAAAGGUCGAUUCUGACGCUAAUGGAAAGUCCAGAUGACAACAGUAAGACGAAGACUUUUUCUUGUAAGGGCGUAGACCUCGCUGAGAGCGAUAGUUCGUGAUGAACCAACCAAACCCUAAUAUUGUAUAGUAUGAUUUGUUCCUUUUGGAGUUCAUGAUUUUGUAUAGAUUUAUAAAUAGAAAGGUUUAAGAGAGUAGAAAUUUUAAAUUUAUUUGUUGUAAUUGCACGCUUCCAUUUUAUGAUUUUAGUACUCAAACUCACGUUUCCCUUAUUUACCAAAACGGGGGCGUGACAGUCACAGUUAAAUAUUUCCUAUUCAAA